This 582-nucleotide small RNA is filed under the name Pongo abelii (Sumatran orangutan). RNAcentral's name for it is "retained intron". The record is from RNAcentral. Lineage: Eukaryota; Metazoa; Chordata; Mammalia; Primates; Hominidae.
ACUUUGCUUUUGCUCACCCUUUCUGUUGAUCUCCCUGCUUUGUGUUUUCUUCUGGUAACUUAUCACAUAGUUGUCAGCUGUUCCUCUUGUUUGACUGCCAGCCCCUGUGGGGAAAUCAGGGUUUCCAGGCACAAGCGCUGGGCAGCCAGGGUAAGGUGCAGCUCUCUCCCUGCAGACUGAGUAUCGUAAUAAAUGUGAGUUUCUGGUUGGCGUCGGGGUGGAUGGGGAGGAUAACACCGUGGGCUGUCGGCUCGGCAAGUACAAGGGCGGGACGUGUGCUGUGGCAGCCCCGUUUGACACCGUGCACAUCCCCGAAGCCACCAAGCAGGUGGUGAAGGCCUUCCAGGAGUUCAUCCGGUCCACUCCAUACUCGGCAUACGACCCAGAGACAUACACAGGCCACUGGAAGCAGCUGACUGUGCGCACCAGCCGCCGCCGCCAGGCCAUGGCCAUUGCCUACUUCCACCCCCAGAAGCUGAGCCCUGAGGAGCUGGCAGAGCUGAAGGCCUCCCUAGCGCAGCACUUCACAGCAGGGCCAGGCAGGGCCAGUGGAGUGACCUGCCUCUACUUCGUGGAGGAGGG